GUUGUCUAGGACCUCCCCUCACCUGGUUGUCUAGGACCUCCCCUCACCUGGUUGUCUAGGACCUCCCCCUCACCUGGUUGUCUAGGACCUCCCCCUCACCUGGUUGUCUAGGACCUCCUCCUCGUUGUCUCGGACCUCCCCUCACCUGGUUGUCUCGGACCUCCCCUCACCUGGUUGUCUAGGACCUCCUCCUCGUUGUCUCGGACCUCCCCUCACCUGGUUGCAGGAAGGAGUUUUUGUAAGUCGCUCUGGAUAAGAGCGUCUGCUAAAUGUAAAUGUGUCGCGUUUUAUUCCCUCCUCCCCCACUGAUUCAGUAGCAGGAAGGAGUUUUGAGGUGUUACGAUAUCAUAGAGCCUUUUAGCGUCACAGAAUACCAGUUUACUGAUAGCAUUAAUACAACGUUUGUUAGUUUGUACAUAUACCAGUAACAGGAUCCAUGUUUACUUGUUUCUCCAUCAUGUCUUUUACGUUUGUAGGAGAAGUUGUUGUUUUAACUCUAUUUUUUUGUCAGAUGAUCUGUCUGUGUGUAAGAUUUAUUGUUAAUAAUUGUAAAGGAUCAAAAUAAAUGGAGUUUGUAGAGA
Molecule: long non-coding RNA, 581 nt
Organism: Oncorhynchus gorbuscha (pink salmon)
Lineage: Eukaryota; Metazoa; Chordata; Actinopteri; Salmoniformes; Salmonidae
Exons: 2
Source: RefSeq, a predicted model, not a curated record